GUACAUACAGCCUUAGUCUAGCUGAGGCCUCUCUGUGACCAAGCCCACGAGGACCCUGUGCCUUUCCGUGGCUGGAAACGAAGGAUGGGGCUGUUCCAUGCUGGGAGACACACCAGGAGCAGAGGUAUUGAGAGGCUGCUGAGGCACUCCCAAAGCUUCCCUUCACCAGGAAAUGAGCUCCAUUCCCUCUGCCUCUAUGCACAGCACGUGCCUUGGUGUCUCCCUGCUGUACAUGCUUUGUGCCACCAACACCUUAUGGACUCCUCUGACAAAGCAGGACAAGGGAGGACGAGCACAGAGGUGAGGGAAGCAUUGCCCUGCAUCCUGAUGGCAGUGGGACGGUCCCAGGCUGGAUGGGAUUUGUGACAGAGAAUGAUCUGCACAGGGAUUUUGGCAGCUCGUGGUGUGAGGAGGUGCUGAGUAAAUCCCUAAUUUUGUGGCUGAGGGUUGUGAGGUGCUCUCAGCAGUGCCACAGUGUCACCAAAUAAGUGCUCCAAGACAAAUCUGGGAUCUGGGGAGUGCUGCUGAGUGGUCUGGGCACCUCCAAAGCUCCUCCACUUCCUUUGCUGAGCUGGGAAAGAGCAGCUCUGUGUUUGGAGAUGCAUAAAGGACAUGGGGUGGGUGACCUGGAUUUGCAGUCACUGCUCCCUGGGGAGGGAGCCUGCAGUGAAGAGCUGCUGAGAUUAGGGGGAGUGUGGUAACUCCCAUGCUGAGGGAAAUGCUCAAAUUCACCCAAGGGCACGCCAAGCCAGGUUAAGAGCAUCAUUCUGCCCCCAGAAAUUAUUUUAUUGCACCUUGAACAGCAGCAGGAUUGGCCCUUGACCCCUCAGCAGCUGGAGCUGGAGCCAGCCAGGAGCCUGCACUGAGAGGAACUUCUGCUCAUUUCUUGGCCUGACAGGUAGCAAGAAUAACCUGACAUUAAAACCUGAGAAGGUGAGUGAAGAUCCUUGUGAUUUGCUCCAAGCUCUCGGAUCUCUCCCUGUGCUUCCCACUGAGGCAAUCCUGCAGCUCUUCUCCAGCUGGGGUGAAACUGGAGGGACAGGAAACAAUUUGGCUUUGUCAGAGGAGGGGCUGGGAGUGCUGGUGUCAGUCCAAGCCUGACCAGCUGUGUUUGGGAUGUGGGCACAGUGGCGUGCAAGCGGUGAAGGCUGCAGGUCUCACUGGGCUGGGAGAGUCCAGAUGUGAUUUGGACACUAGAUGGAGACAAGAGGGUUGAGGAUUGACACGGGAGCAGGAAUGCUGUUCCAGCAGCUGGUGCGAGAUCCAGCGAGGUGAGUCCUCAGCAAACUGGGGGAACUGCCCUGGAAUCGAAGCAACAGAGAACUGAACCAGUGGGAUCUUGGAGAGCUGGAGUCCUUGAAAAAGG
Molecule: long non-coding RNA, 1366 nt
Filed under: Lonchura striata (white-rumped munia)
Lineage: Eukaryota; Metazoa; Chordata; Aves; Passeriformes; Estrildidae
Description: domestica (Bengalese finch) lncRNA (ENSLSDG00000003484.1)
Source: RNAcentral